This 256-nucleotide ribosomal RNA is filed under the name uncultured bacterium. RNAcentral's name for it is "partial 16S ribosomal RNA". It matches the Rfam family "Bacterial small subunit ribosomal RNA", at positions 526 to 779 of the family's 1533-position model. The record is from RNAcentral.
CGAAGGGUGCAAGCGUUACUCGGAAUUACUGGGCGUAAAGCGUGCGUAGGUGGUUUGUUAAGUCUGAUGUGAAAGCCCUGGGCGUCAACCUGGGAAGUUGCAUUGGAUACUGGCAGGCUAGAGUGCGGUAGAGGAUGGCGGAAUUCCCGGUGUAGCAGUGAAAUGCGUAGAGAUCGGGAGGAACAUCCGUGGCGAAGGCGGCCAUCUGGACCAGCACUGACACUGAGGCACGAAAGCGUGGGGAGCAAACAGGAUU